Rattus norvegicus (Norway rat) is the source of this 6056-nucleotide non-coding RNA. Lineage: Eukaryota; Metazoa; Chordata; Mammalia; Rodentia; Muridae. The record is from RefSeq and is a predicted model, not a curated record.
AAAGAUAAAGAAAUGGAUGAACACACAUUUUCAUACACGAGCUGCCACCCUGGCUUCUAUUUGGAGCGCAGUGGUGAUAUCUGAAGCAGCCAGUGAAAAUAAACCCCUUGGACUUGGACCCGCAGCUACCAUGGCAUAUUUUUAAAUGGUUACAGAAAGAGUCUGAGCAUCCAGUAGGGCAGUGUCCAAGAUUCUUGGGCUGCUCCCUGGAUGGCACUUGAGGUCCACUAGACAGGUAGACAAGACCUGUCUCACCAAGCUAGGUCAAGAAAAGACAAGGGCAGACAGAAGAGCCCCUUCGGGGAUUACCAUGCUCUUAAAGAGAAGAAUUAACUUCACUACAAACAUUUGAGGGCAGACUUUCAGAAAAAAAAAAAAGACUUGUUUUUAAACCGAAGAACUGAGGAAACUUUCCAAACAGAAAUAGGAGAGCACAGCAUCAUCAUAAAGUCCAAGGGACUUACCCCGAAUUGCACAGUAGAGUUCACGACCAUGCCUGGUGUGAUUUCACCCUACCCUUAACUCCCACUUACCACUAGAAUGUUUGGUGUAAAUCCCAGGGAGGAUGAAAUGGAUGGUAUAAAGGCAAACUUUUAUGAGAUUUAUGACUUAGUCCAAAAUUAGAGAAAUUAGAAACUGCAUGGAAAAGCCCAACAGGGCUCGGUCACUUAAGUAAACACUUUACAAAAUUACACACACCGCCUGGAGGUCUCCGUGCUAACCAAAAAAAUCAGCUUCUUUCUGGGUUUGCAAAAUUGUUCUUGAUGGUGCUGUCUGAUGGCUAGGCAGUGAGUUAUCUGCAGGAGAGCUGUCAUUUUACAGGAAGAAGGAGCUGAUGAGGAACAAGAGUGGGGUAGGGACAGAGUAGCAGAGAAGCACACUGACCCCAGGAAAGUGUGUAAAAUGUCGUGUGAGAUAACAGGGGGUACCUGGAGCACAGGGAUCAGAGGGCCGGUGUGUGGUCUGCAGCCACGGCUGUUCUUUUCUCUUCAUCCUUCAUACCAGAUUGUUAAUCUCCUCAGAAGGCUGCCCUUUCCCUCCUCAUACACCCAACCCAACCUGGAAUCACACAGAGCAAGAAAGUUGGGGAGCGACCCGCAAACAUAUUUACUUCUGAGGCAUUUCACCUAUCUCUUUGCAAAGUGUAGAUGUUUAAAACUCAUUUCCAGCCAGUUGAGACUUCGAUGAUGAUGUGUGCUCAAGACGUGUGGGGGUUAAUUAGGCAAGUAUGAAUCACAAUGUUACCCCUUUGUAUCUUCUAACUUCCUCCAGUGCCUUGAAGUAUGUUUUGACAGAGGCAAGCUAAAUUACAUAUGCUUCAGAUCAUACACAUUCAACCAGUGCUAUAUGCAAAGUAAGUAUUUAUUGGAUUCAAAAAUAACUGAACAGGAUUCUUAAACCAAAUACAUAAAUGGUUAUGUGGUUAGAGUGCUACAAUUAAAGCAAGUAAACUGAUGUCUCAAAUGGUACCCAUGCAGACCUGGGUUCUUGUCCCCAGCACCUAAGCAAAAAACUAGGCUGAGCUUAAACUGUGGGUGGAUCCUUGAAGCUUUUGGGCCAGACAGUCUAGCUGAAUCAAUGGGCUUCAGGUUCAAUGAGGGACUCAAAGAAAGAUGAAAAACAUGAGGGAAAUACACUUGUGGUCAACCUCAGUCUGCAUGUGCAAGUAAAUAAGAACAGUAAGAAAUAUGUAUAUCACACACACGUGAGCAUGCAUAAACACACACACACAAAUACAUACAUAUACACUCACACACACACCAAAAACAAAUAUGAGUAUUAAAAAUGCUUUCAGUAGAAUGUUAUCAAGUCUCUACCAAUGUGAAAUGGAGAAUAACCCUUGAAAGGCUUCCUAAAGCUGAGACAGCACUUCAAUUGGUACAGUUUAGGUGGAGAGUGAGAGUUUCUUCAGGGGAACACUGUUGCACCAUCAGGAAAAUGCACACACACACACACACACACACACACACACACACACACGCACACACCACAUAUUGAUGGAAGGAGAAGAUUAUGAAUUAAAAGGCAAGUUGAUUGCAUAAUCAAGGCAAAUAAGUGUAUAAGGGGGUGUGUUUAAAUGCACGAAGUCUAGUACAAGAUAAUCAGGAUUCUACUUCUAGCCCUGAGCUGAGUGACCUUGGACAAGUCCUGAGACAUUAAACCUCAGGGUCUAUGUAAAAAUCAGAACACAAACAGGGACCAUUCGGUUAGUCCAUAUGUUAGCAGUGGUUUAUAAUGAGGUCUGUUUGGACUAUAUAGGAAAGGUGAGGAGAUUGCACACCAUAAUGCUCUGUGUCGGUGGGGGUGGGGCUUGGGUGGAGUCAUAUCAUCUGCCUUUCCCGAGAUGACUCCAGGCAGGUCUGAAGCCCACAACCUCUCAUGAUAAGCAAAAGAUUCAUCUGGGAGACUCCCUUUUCUGGUGUUGGCAGCACUAUAGAGCUGGGCCUAGAUACAAAUCGUGUUUGUUAUCCCAAGGACACUCCUGGAGAAACAGUUUUUAGUGCGGAUUCUCCUGGAGGACCUCCUGCAGGCAAACGGCUGGGAUGGUUACCCCUGUUUUAUGGAGUGACAGCAGAACCUCCCUUCCUAUUUCCAGUGUGUGUGCUUCAUGAGGCAGUGAGCCCUGUCUUCCAUACCUCGGUUGCAAAACCAAAGGGCACUUGCCAUUUGAAAAGGCCUUCAGAGAAAGCGUCCGUGUGGUCUGUGCCCUCUGAUGCCAACUGCCAGCACAUUGGUGGACUGGCACCUUUCGGUUCCCUUCCCUUUCCAGGAUAGCAGCACUUCCUACUGGAAGGGGUGGAGUGAGAACUGAUACCAACUUAACGUCUCCCUUCCUGAGAGGCCUGGCAGGAUCUCUCCCGCCUUUGUGAUUAGAAAGGAAGCAUUCACAAAGAUGGUUAUGCGAUCACGGAAUGAACCUUGGCUCCAGAGGACUUCCUGGAUUCCUAGUUUUGCGGGUUAUACUUCUGUGGUAGCAUUUUACGGGUUGGAGAGAUGGCUCGGUGGUUAUGAGUGUCGGCUGCUCUUUCAGGAUAACUGGGGUUCAACUCACAGUGCACCGUGCAGAGCAUCUUGCACUCACUUAACGACUUGGACUCCAGGGGGCUGCUACAGUAUUCUGACCUCCACAGCUUCUAAGCAUCUAAGUACCCUGUUUGUAUCACUCAUCUGAAAACGUGAUAGCCUUCUAACCCCUUUGCAAUGUACAAGAGCGCCGGGGCUUCCAACUGGACUCCGUCUAGAGAUCAUCAUCAUCAUCAUCAUCAUCAUCAUCAUCAUCACUACUCAAAAAGUCCAGUUGUAUGGGGCUUGAGCAACCUGACAGAGGACCAUACCCCUAAAGAAAAAUGACCAUCCCUUCCUCCGCACCCAUCAGCUGCCAAUAGCUGAUGGUAUCUCGUUUCUAACCUGGACUCAGAAUACAUAGUUCCAAGAAGUCAUUUGACCCUGUAAUUCUAACUGUGAAGGAAAAACAAGAGUUGUUGACAUAACUUCAAAGAUUUGGGAGGCGAUUGUGAUGUCCUAGACUUACUUGACAAAUUCCACCAGCUGGCAAGGAAGGAGAACCCACAGGGUUCACAAGGAAGUAGGGACAGCUCCUGGUCCUUGUGAUGGGGAAUAUUGGGGGCAGGAAGGGGGGGAGUAUUUUUCAGUGAGAGGAGCAAGGUGCACUUCGGCCGUUUGAGUCUGCCAUGACUCACAUGAGGAUGGGACACUGAACGAUUAGGCUUUUACAGAGCCCUCCAAGCCAGUCUGUUGCCUACCUCCCUUUUCCUCCCUCCCUCUCCUGAGGCAAUGAUGGCUUUCCCCAAGCUGAAUUUUACAUAAGGAACGGCUCUUUCACUCCUGCUGCUUCUUACCCAGAGAAUCCCUCCCAGCGGGGAAGAAAUCCAAGUUAUAUGCUGGGAGCUGUAUCUACCUACACCUGGACCACAGAACCCUGGUGCUUUCUUUCUGGGAAGCCCAUCUGCUUGUCUCAGAGUUCUCUUAGCCUAAGCAAAUGGAUGCCUUGUGAACCCUACCCAGGACUGCCCACUAAUUUCAGGAAAGAAAACAAAAACAAAACAAAACAACAACAACAACAACAACAACAACAACAAAACAAAAACCAGGCUCCAGAGGUGACCAAUCUUUCAAAAUAGCAAGUGUUUUGAAGCCAGAUCUAAACUGAGAAAGAAUAAGAAAAAGUAACCAGUGACACAACUGUCAACUCUAUAGCUGUUUUUGUUCAUGGGACCCCAUGUCCUUGUUAGCUGAAUGCUGCCCUCUCAGAGACAGAGACACAGAUCUGGAAGCUAUUUGAAGUUCAAAGGCACACACGGACUUCUGCCAACCAAAGCUGGAGGCAGCUAGAGGCUGGAGGAAGCACGUUAAUAAAUACAUCUGGAUAAAAAGCCUGAAAGCAUUUCUGCAGAGUUUCUGACUGAAAGUUCCCCACAAGAAAAUGGCUACAACAUUUUCUCUGAGUCCAACUCAGUUGGGUUGGGAACUGGACUGCUGUCACAGUUUCUGGAGUGUUCAGGAAAGGGUUUGUCCAGGGUCAGGAAAGAAGCAUCUGAAUGGUCCCUUAGCACAGAGCUUCUCAACCUGAGGAGUAUAAUCCCUCUGGGGGGAGUCAAACAAUCCUUUCAUGAGGGUCACCUAAGACCACUGUAAAACACAGACACUUACAUUAUGAUGUCUACCAGGAGCAAAAUUACAGUUAUAGAGUAGCAAUGAAAGUAAUUUAAUGGUUGGAGACCACCCAAGCCUGAGGAAAGUUGCAGCCUUAGGAAGGUUAUGAACCCCUGCCUUAGCACUUGGCUGAUUUUGAGGGUAGCAAAUGGGAUCGCUGUAUUCAAGUUACCCAGUCUCUGACUCCUUAACGCACUCAGCUGACUUCACGUCAUGCUCGGAUUGGGAGUUUCUGGUACAGUCGAUUCCGUUUCUCAUUUGACAGUUUCUCUCCCCUCCCAUACCUUUCCCUUCCCAAUACGCCUUUCCUGUUCUCUCUUCUUCCCUCCCCCAAUUUUUCUUUUGAUGUUUGCUGAUCAUCUCAGAGGUGAGUUUCAGCAAAGGUUGGAAUAAUACUUUACUCUAGAAUCCUUUUUUCCCCCUUUUGAUGAAGAUCCAGAGGGUUCUCCUGGUCAGGGGAAGGAAUCCAUUCCCCCAUGGCUCCUCCUGAGUUGUAGCCCUGAGUCAUAUCCCCAAGGACCUUGGCAAAUUCUCUUCCCUCUAAGACCCUGGGUUGAGAACCAGAGUAAAGGGUGGAGACAGUGUGCUAGUGGACACACCAAGACAGACAUUAAAAAGAGGGACCAUCCCCUCUGCUCCUACCCACACCUGAUGCCUCUUCCCUCUCCCCUUCCAAUCUCCUCUUCUACCCAGUUCUCUCCCUCCAUCUGUCCUCCAUGACCAGUCCAUUCCCCUUCUGAGUGAGACUCAAGCAUCCUUACUUAUGUCCUUCUUCCUGUCUUGAAACUCAUCCCAUGGACAAGCACCAAUCCCUGCCACUACUAAUGAUAUUCUGUUAUGCUUGCCAACAGGAGCAUGUUGUCCUCUGAGAGGAUCCACCCAGCAACUGACUCAGAGGGAUACAGACAUCAACAAUCAAACAGCAGAUGGAGCUUGGAAGACUAGGAGGAAGGAGGGCAUAGGAACCUCAUAGGAAGACCAACAGGGUCAACUAACCUGGACCCUGGGGGCUCUUGGAGACUGAACUACCAACCAAAGAACAUACACAGAUAGGCACAGGACCUAGGUCUCACACAUAUGUAGCAGAUGUGAAGCUUGGUCUUGAUGUGGGUCUUGAACAACUGGGACAGUGUCUAUCCCAAAAGCUAUUGUCUGCGUGUGGGCUAUGUUCUUCUAGCUGGGCUGCCUUGUCUGCCUUCAAUGGGAGAGGAAGUACCUAAACUCACAGAGACUUAAAGUGCCAGGGUGGGGUGAUACCCAGAGGCUCCCCACCUGCUCAGAGGAGAAGGGGAGGUGGGGAAGGGGGAAAGAUUGUGGGAAGGGUGACCUGGAGGGGGACAAUGAGCAGGAUGUAAAGUGAAAAAUAAAAAGGAAAAAUCAAG